RNAcentral lists this ribosomal RNA (303 nucleotides) under uncultured bacterium. Its description in RNAcentral is "partial 16S ribosomal RNA". It matches the Rfam family "Bacterial small subunit ribosomal RNA", at positions 507 to 809 of the family's 1533-position model. The record is from RNAcentral.
AGCAGUAGCCGCGGGAAUACGUAGGUGGCAAGCGUUGUCCGGAAUUAUUGGGCGUAAAGCGCGCGCAAGCGGAUAGGUCAGUCUGUCUUAAAAGUUCGGGGCUUAACCCCGUGAUGGGAUGGAAACUGCCAAUCUAGAGUAUCGGAGAGGAAAGUGGAAUUCCUAGUGUAGCGGUGAAAUGCGUAGAUAUUAGGAAGAACACCAGUGGCGAAGGCGACUUUCUGGACGAAAACUGACGCUGAGGCGCGAAAGCCAGGGGAGCGAACGGGAUUAGAUACCCGCGUAGUCCCUGUCUCUUAUACA